UGACCAGAACCAGAAGCAGACUGGGACCUGUGGACUUGCUCCAUGUGUGAUGUGGGUCACUUGGAGCCCAGCUGUGCUGUCAUGGCUUUCCAGAGGUUAUCUUCUAGUGCCUGGGGAGGUUGUCAGAGUGCCUUCUAUUACCUGACUUUGCAUAUAAUCUGUAUUUUUUCUCUUCAGAUAGCUUCCCCUUGAGGGAAGGAGGAGGAAUUGUUUUCAUCUUGGUUGCCGGUCACUGAGGCUUCAGUUUGCAGUGUGUUUCAGGGCACGUGCCGUGCCUGACAAACUUCAUGUGCAGGGGGAAAAGCCUUGUAAGGAAAGACUCCUUUUGUGUUACUGAUUAUAAAGGGAAUUAAUUUCCAAGCUGAAGAUCACUGUUACUGCUUGGCAAGGAGAUUGCUCCCUUCUUUCCAGAGAGCUGUAUUGGAUCUGUAAGGCAUGGCCAGUCAUUAGAGCCAUCAGGUCUAAUGGACACAUCCAAGCUCUCUUUUUCCACUUCUCCCUGCACUUUUCCACCCAAAAACAUUUUGCAUGGCAGGUGGGAAGGUGUGGUAUGCCUCACAUGCAACACAUCCAAGACACACCACGGUCUGACUGCGCCUAGCAGGCUGCUUAAACUGCGAUCCCAUGGGACAGAGACACAACCUCCCCGGGGAGAAGUUCCUGCUGUGGUGCCAGCCCGAGGGCUGUGGCUCAGGGCCGUGUCUGCUUGGGAAGUGUUGGCUCAGACCACGUCGCAUUCCAUCGCCUGCUUCCCACAGUGGCUCAGGAGCAGGUUUCUGAGGCAGGCAGGUACCAGAAGCCCUAAACCCCCAGAGUGGGGCAGCUUUUCUGCAGCCCUGAUGCCUCGCUGGUGCAUCGUCUCAUCACCCUUGUGUAGGAGCAGAGGUGGCUCUGCUGCUGGAGGUGUCGUGCGUGGCAGCAGAGCUGCGUGCAGGCCUGCAGGAUGACAGGCCGUGCCCCACCAGCAGCAGGCGGGUGCACAUCCACGGCUGCAGCCCUCGUUGUGCCCCAAACAGGAUGCCUAGCUGGGGAGGCAGGCUCUGACAGCACUUCAGGUCUUGUUUCUGAUGGCUCCGAGACCUCCUCUGAUGUUUCUUGUCUGCAGCGUGCUUUCAAACAGCCUCCAGGUCUCCGACAGCAGGCCUCAUGGCUCUGUUAGCUGGUCCAGGCACUGAGGGCUUGCUUGCUGGUAGAUGGGUGUGUUGGGUUUGCUGGCAGCGAAGACAUUUUGAUGACUCUUGUGAAGAUCUGGUUAUUUGCCACCUUGCACCUGGUGUGAGCUGUGUCUGCUGGAGUUCAGCUCCGUGCCUCUUGCGGAAGCUCACCUCCAUGUGCGGUCGGGUUGUCAAGUUUGAGCACAAGCAUUAGAGCUACCUGUGACCCUCUGGCAAUGCAGAAGAGAAUCGACUGAGAAGGUGUUAACCUCUUCAAAGGAGCCUUGUGCAACUCCCCGUUGAAGAGCAGGGCUGAGAGCAGAGUGGCAAGAGCUGCUGGCUGUGUUAGUCAUCCAGAAAGAGACUUGUUUUUCCCUCUCCCCCUCCCCGCCCUGGCACGGGGGUAGAGAUUCUUUCUCACUGCUUGGUGUGGCCAAAAGUUAGAAGAAGAAACGUGUUAUCAUCAAGGGAAUCAGUCAACUCUCCCCUAAAAACAUAAGCUUUUAUUUGUGCAGCUCUGGCAGCGAGAUUUAGCGGGGUGUUGAAUUUUGCUGCCAUAGCCCCCAGAAUCUGAAACCAGUUCUGCUGGGAGCCAUGCAAACCUGAACACGUGUGUGUGUUCACACCUCCUUCCACAUUAACGUUCGCAUGUAGAUGGCUGAUUCCCUGAUAAUAAGAUGCAAAACGGUGUGGGUACUGCAGAAGUCUCGGGUUGUGCUGACUACCUGUUGACAUGAAGGAACUGGAGCGCAGGAGGCCUCUGCAGCCACCAGUCACCAUUUUCAGCAGGGUACGGGCACGUUGACUCUCCUUGUAAUUAAAGUUGGUAAACCAGAAUGCCAAACUUUAAUUUCUAGACCGCACGAGGCCCGCAGGAUCAAAAUCUGAGGAAGUAACCAGUGAUAACCUUGGUCAGACAGAGAUUUUUCUAGGUCCAACUCAGCACCUUCAUUUUCAGAUGGUUGGGUAGGAAAUAGGUUGCAUUUGCUGGGUGUGUGAAACAUGUAAAAGCACUCGCGUUUCUUGGAAAUGAAGGCUUGAAGGGGUCUUUGGAAAAGGUGCUUUAACUCGUGAGUCACUUGUGAAGAUUUUGUUUUUUAUUACGUGGCAGGUUAAGAGCCUUUUUUAAAAGCCUUUCUCUGUUUCUGGAAGCACUUGGCCACUUGAAGUUGUCGGUUAGAGUGGUACAAAUUAGGAUGUUGUCCCAGAGGAGCACAGCUCUUGAGGCUUACACUGCCGCGUGACCUCCAGGACAGGCACAGACUGCUGAGGUCAGUGAAUUUGUCAUGGUCCUGCCACUACCCGGGGCUUCUGCAGCAGUUUUAGGAUUCUUCAAGCCUUAACAGACACACGAAAUCCAUCUGCUCUGGCUGCAAAGCCAAUGAAACUGUCAGCACCUAGGGAAAAACACAUCUCCUCAGGCUUUACCCACUUGGAGGUCACGGAGCUGCUUGUGAUGGUAUGAACAAGGGGCAGCUGAGACCUCAGCUGAUUUCAGUUUCCCCAGAACCAUCCUGUGAUGGCUCAGCUUGAAAGGAGAAAUACCCUGGUGUGGAAUGGGAACCCAUCAGUAGCAGCCUUGGGGAAGAAGGGGUCGAUGCCUCGAUGGAUAAUUUCCCUGGAUUCCAGAGCAGUGGAGCCUUCUGACCUAGUUGUGGGCAGUACUGAUUUGAAGCUAGGGUGAUCAACAAACAGCUCUUGGCAGGAUCAGAAGGAUAUGAUACGAACUGUUACGAUACACACAAGAUACAUCCUGUGCAGGAAAUACAAGGGAAAAACCAAAGAAACGAAGUCACAAGGUUAGUGAGAGCAUCGUACGUCCCGGCGCAGCCUCGGUGUGAAGCAGCUCCUGCCAGAGACCCUCUUUGGGAAGCUCUGCCUUUUAUACUUCCUGCGGCUCUGCAAGAAGCCAGUGACGUGCCCUGCUGUCAGUGACAUUUAGAAGACCCUCCUCCUUCUCCUCGGGCUCUCACCAGCAGUGGAAAGUUGUGCUCCCUUCAGACACACGAUGAGUUCAGGUGCUUCCUCAGUGCCUCCCGCUGAGGGCUGUGCACACACGCACCAGCACACACACUUUUUUUACUGAGAACUCAAUAAAAUGAAGCAGACUCUGCUUUUGCACCUGAAUAUGAGAAUUUGUGGUAAGCGGACAAGAGGAAAGAGUCUCCUUUAUUGUUCUCUCCCCACAAUAGAUCCCGUUUCAUCUGUCAGAGCUUGAUGCUGUAGGAAAGGGGGAAGUUUCCAUCUUUUCUGCUAGACCCUUCCUAGGGAAGGUGCUCACCUACCAUGUAACAAAUCUCUCUAACUGCCAGCAGCAGGCAUCCCCUUUCCCGUCUCUCACAUGCUUGCAGCACCCUUUUUAGACAAUCAACAGCAAGUGGACUUCCCCACCUCCUCUUUCUGCUUUUUGGUGUUUUCGCGCUACCAUCUGCUAAGUAUCAGCACACACCAUCUUCCUCAAAAAGGUUUUGCACAGUUGUGGUCCUGUGCCUUCCUCAGCAUCACGUUACUGCAGAAGUUUCAAACCUCAGCAUACAGCCCUGGGAGGACCUGCAGCACUGGCAGUUCUGGUCCCUGCCUUGCCAGGGGGUUGAUUUGUCUAUUCCUCUUCAUAAAUGGAUCAUCUUCAGUAUGAAUCAGUGGCUUUUGGUUUGUGGCUGUACAAGGUGGAUGCCUGUUCUUGGAACUGAUUCUUCUAACAGGUAGAAGCGUAACCAGAAGAGUAGAAAAAAGAAACCCUAUUGUAGCUAUGUUACCUCUUGACUGAUCUAGAGAUAAUGUUUACCCUGCAUCAGACAAAUAAUCGUGUAAUUGGGUAGCUAUCAUAAGAUGCAUCUGUGCUGGGCAGCCAGUGUCUGGCUCUCAUGAAUGCCUGUGCUUUUCAAGAUAAUCUGAUCAGUGUCUUACCAAAUAAUCUGAUCAUUAUAUGGGAUAUGUAUUCCAAGGAGCAGAUGAGUUGCAUUGGGUGAACUGAUUGGUUACAUCAGCACCAGCACUGCAGUGUUACUGCUCUUAAAACUUCCCAUGGCAGAAUCCUGCUCUUUGCAAGUACCCUUAGCCAGCAUGCAAGCCGCAAUUCUUCAGUGAAGGAUUCUUCUCCUAAACAUUAAAACACAUGUGACCCCUGAAAGUCUGGCAGUCUGUGGCUCUUGAGAAAAGUAAACACUAUGUGGUGCUAAGGAGAGUGGAUUUGAUUUUCUCUAGCAUAAUUAAGCACUGCAAGAUCUGAAGGUUGUGUUUAAAAUACUGUGGGAUGUACCUAUAUUAAGAUAACGUGAUGGUUAAUCAGAGCUAAAACAGGACUUGAUUAGAAUCUGAGUACAUAAAAAUUUGAGUCUGCUCCUGAAACUACUGAUGAUUUGCUGCCUUGCCUUUAACUAAUUAAUUCAACUUGAAGCAGAACCUGUCACUUCCUAGCUUUCAAUGCCAAGUUAAAUAUAUCUGAAGUCACUGAUCCUGUGGGUGGUCUCUGAACAUACCCAGGCAUCCGUCUGCAGUUUAGUCCCCCUAAAACAUUAUGCCAGCCCAGCUUUCACUUAAAUACCAUCUAACUGCUUCCCUCUUAGGAAGCGAGUGCCACCGUGGUCCUGAUUCCAUUCUGGGGUCCUUAACGUGCCCUCCACACCAUGUAGGAUGUUGGAUCCCCACAGACUCACCCAAGGUCAGGUACCUGAAGACUAUCAACAUUUACUUGGCUUCACAGAAGGUGACCUGCACUUUGCUUAGCUCUGUCUAAGCAUGCAUCGCUGGCUUUUCAAUACUCUUGCUUUUGACUUAUCUGUGUAGGCAGGUGCAUUUCACAUCUCUGUGACUAUUUAUUGCUCUAUUUUCCUUUUGUUCAUCAGUUAUCCAAGCAGGUACGCUGCCUUUGAGAGUUAUGUCUUCUAACCACUUCCGCCAAGAAGGAUGAGAGAUGAAAGGCUUCUCUCAGGUGGGACUCCAAGCAGCUUCAUCCAGCUCUGCCCGUGGCCGCACAGGACAUCACCCACCACGUAUUUCAUGUACUGGCUCACGGAGCUGCGCAAGAACUGCUGGCAAUUCCAGGGAUAAUCCUUUAUGUAAGCAGAGCUCCUACAACUGAAGUCCUCAUUUUGCUUGAAGGAGAUUAGCUUUGCAAGACUAUCCCCUGUGAUACAGUUCUCAUCCCAGAUGCAGAGACCAGGGACACCCUUGGACAACAGUUUCCAAAUUCUCUUAGGACAGCUCAGGAUGUGUUUGUGCUGUCGGUGGAGUCAGGGAGAUGGCUUCAGGAACUGAAAGGUGUAGAGGGAACAUCCAGCUGCGACAUCCUUGAAGCCUUAAGGAAGCAGAAAAAUGCUAGUGGUUGGGUUUGCAAAGGGGAAAAAGGAAGUGCAGUAUGAAAUCCGUGCUCACAUUAAAAUUGUAGUUUGAAUCAAUUGUUUAAGGAAUGUGAUAGAAUGUGAGAAAAUUUGUAUUGUAGAUAAACAAUGAUAUGCACGUAAGAGGCCACAGUAACUCGUCGUAUCUGGAUUCACACAAAAAUUGUCAACAUUUUGUCUCAAGAAAAAAGACUGACGUAUAUCGUAAAGGGAUUGUGUUCUGGUUCCUAAUUUUGUUCUGGAUAAGAGAUUCUUUUAAAUAGUUGGACAACCGGAAGUCCAAUGUAGGAUUCAAAAUACUGUAUUGGGCUCCCACCAGAUGGCAGUCCGGGACAUCUAACCAACAUUUGUAGCUGCUUUGAAACCAGCAUAUAGCUUCUUUUCCACUGAACUUGUGGUCUCUACAUUGCGUUGUUCUGAUUGCAAAAAAAUUCCCUCUUAAUCCUUUGUAUUGCUGUAAAUUGGUAUAUUUAAUUUGUAUGGUAUCAAGUAUUCCUUUAAUCCCACUUGUAAACAGUAUUUUAUUUUUUAGCAUGUGCUUUUUCUAUUGUUGGAUUAACUUCUUAAAAUGGGGUGCACUGUACCAUAGGCACAAUAUAUGGUAGAGGAAAAUACCCAGUAAAAUACAGCUCAGGAUCUACAGUCUUAAAUUAUGACAUGAAGAACGAAAGGAGGCUAAUACCUUAAAGCUUUUUGAGUCCUUUUUUAUUAGCCAAGAAAUCUGGAAAAUUAGGUUAGAAUAGUGAAAUUAUUUUAGCUCAAAAAUAUAGAAAAUCACAUCUAAAUGAAUGCCUAACGUUUGUAUCACAUUUCUAGUUACUGAACAAAGAACUGAUGAUAGAAUUAAACACCAUGAAAAUAAUGCAGGUAACACCAAUAGACUGAAGUAGAAAGUACAUUGCAUGCCUGCUAAGAAUGAAAAUGCAUGUUUUAUGUAAAAGAAUCUUAGUUAAAAAGCCAAUCUAUUUUUUUACUUCAUACUAAUGAAAAAAGUUAUUUAUCCACUUCUGCUUUGAAAGCAACGUGGAAUGAAUGGAUCCUUUGCAAUAUCAGGCUGUGCCUUAUAUCUUCUCUUCAACUUCCUUAACGUGGGAUGCAACAACCUUUCCGUCUACCACUUCCUCAACAAUUGUCUUGAUCUUUCUAGUUUUGGUAGGAUCUAAACAGCAUAAACAAGACAAAAGAAUUAUGGAAUUGUUAACAUGCCUUGCAUCAACAAUUAAUCCUCUUUCCUUUUAAGUUGGCUACUUGCUAUGAUGAACUCUAUGAUGUAGUUAAUCAGAAUAGCAUACAUUAUUUUACUUAUAAUAAUAACUUUAGAAAUAAUAUUAUUGGGACAUUUCAUCCCUCAUUCAGACAGUGUUGAGAAUUCUAAAUGAGUACUUAAUGAUUCUGUAUCUGCUAAUUUUAAUGGUUAUAUAAAGCAGUGUAUAUAAUUAACAUGGGAACACAUUUAUUUGAAUGGUAAUGGUCAGAACUAUUAUAACAGCUGUAAGAUAAAUAUGUAUUCAGUUGAGUUCUACCUACCCUGAGAAGAAUCCAGUGAUUGUGUUUGUGAUUUAGACCCUGUCAAAGAUGAGCUUUCAAAUGAAAGUCCUUGUCCUCCACUCCUAAAAAUGAAUGAGAGACAUACUAUAUUGCAGAAUGUUUGUCAGAUGCAUGAGAAUGUGUAUUAUUCCCUUUUCAUGCUGCCAUUCAUUAAUUAAUAUAGUCACUGAGCAAAAUGGUUCAUUUGUUAUAUUUGUAAAGAAGAGCUGAUUAUUCGGAAUCUUUGUAUGUGCUUUCCUGUCUUUUGGUGAACGUAGCACUUGUUUAUCCCUCUUCUCUUUUCCUGGAAAGGAUAUUGCUACAGAAAGUAAAACAGAUAUUUUAUAUGAAUUAUUUACUUACACAAACUCUCCAUCCAUCAAACGACGGUAGGUUUCAAUCUCCAUUUCCAGACGACUCUUGAUGUCUAGAAGUUGUUGAUACUCUGCAUUCUGCCGUUCCAUAUCAGCCCUGACCUGAAACAGCUGAGACUCCAGAUUCCCAAUCUGAAGUUGCAUUUGUGAAAGCUGAGCGCAGUAACCUCCUUCUGUUUCUGCUAAAGUGUCUUCAAGGGAUUUUUUCUGUGUAAGAAGGAUUUUAAAUAAUCUGACUGAGGAAAACAGGAUUCUUUACAAAUAUAAAGACAGCUGAAACAGUUUAUGGGAGUAACUAUGGCCUCAAUACUUAGAGACAUUUAUUUUUUUCUUGAAAUACUAGUUUGGUAAUUGGCCUUUGCUGCUACUUCGCUGAAUGUGAAAAUAAAAGCUCAUUUGUUUUAUAACAUGCUACUUGCAAUCCAAUUAUAUAUAUAUGACUACUAUUUAGGAACUAAAAGAGUGUAGAUUUUAUAGGAAAUAAAUGCAAGUCACAAAUCCUGUAGAAUAGUGCAAGAUAUAAAAAAUGCUUUUAAGUUGGAAAAUUGUCAAGUUAGCAGUUUCCUUUCAACCUACCAUGGCAAGCUGGGAUUGUAGUUCAAUUUCCAAGCUCUGGAGAGUCCGUUUUAGAUCUGUGAUCUCGCUCUUUCCUGACUGAAGCUGCUCAGUAUUGGUGGAGAUUUCCCUUUUCAGCUCCCCACUCUGAAAUGGCAAGAAGCAGAUUGUAAUUCUCCUGUUCCGAAUACUCAAUUCUCUUUUACAUGCAUUUGGCUGCAUUUGCUAUUUAUGUGGCUGUUACUUUUUCAUUGAACCAUGCUUCAGCCUCUUUACGGUUUUGCUCGGCGAUGACUUCAUACUGUCCCCUCAUGUCAUUCAAAAGCUUGGUGAGGUCAAUUCCUGGAGCAGCAUCCAUUUCAACGCUGACUUGGCCAACUGCAUUGCUCUGGAAGCCCUGAAGCUCCUGGAGAGAUUUGAAAUAAAAGAUUCUGUUAAUAAAAGGCAAAAUAGUUCUACCAGAAAUAUUUAUAGAGAAAUAGGAGUGAUGUAAAUUCUUCUGCAACAAGAAUCCUUCCUAAUUAAGUUUUAUUUCAUCUCUGAAGAACAUAAAACAGUGAAAUAUUAAUAUAGAUCUUGCCUGUCAGUUCCAUUUGUCUCAAUAGUCUUGUUAUUUAACUUUUUGAUUCUUCUCUAGCCUGUACACCUAGGCUAUGAGUAAAAAUAAUAACUGGAAGACUGAUAAGCAUCUGAGUUGGCUCCCAUUUCCUUUAUAAUUUUGAAUGGCAAAUUUUGUAUCAACUUUCUGCAACACAGUGACUGCUGUGGUGGUAGUGUAUAGGCAGAAUAAAAUAAGCAACUGGCAUCUGAGUUGAUUUGGCAAGAGGAAAAUGUGAAAAGUUUAGUUUUGCUAAGCCAGGAGCUAAGAGAACAGCAACUUGUUGGGGCCAGCAAUCCAUAAGCCCUGAGUGUACAUGAAGAUAUCUUCUGCGUUCUUAGAGAAAUGGCCUGGCAGUAUUUCUAGUGGCAGAACUUAGAAGAACAGUAAUCCUGCAUCAUCUAGAGCCCAUAGAUUAGGUGCCUAUUUCUUUCCCUCCUUCUCUUAGCAAACUCAGAACAGCAAACAAACCAAAUAAUGGAACCAAGGAGCUCCCACUGGCAUAAAUAAGGGAAUAAUUUGAUGUUUCGUACUUCCAUCUACCUUGUUAUGAAUAUACAAAGAAAUAAAAAAAGUACCUCUUCAUGAUUCUUCUUAAGAUAAGCCAGUUCUUCAUUCAGACUUUCAAUCUGCAUCUCCAAAUCAGCUCUCGUCAAGGUCAGCUCAUCGAGAACUCUGCGCAGACCAUUGAUGUCAGCCUCCACACUCUGGCGAAGAGCCACUUCAUUCUCAUAUCUGUGAAGAAAGUAAUUAAAUGUGCUUUUUAUGUGGUUGAUGAGGUCAAAUGCAAACUUACUCUGUGCUUAUAUAGCUUUUAAUAUGAAAUCUUAAUACACAAAACUAUUACAAUAUUAAUAAUUAACAUAUUCUGCAAUGAGAUACUUCUAAAUACAUAGGAUUUUUUCCCUUAAAAUAAUAGUGACAGGUUUUGC
Molecule: non-coding RNA, 9480 nt
Organism: Anas platyrhynchos (mallard)
Lineage: Eukaryota; Metazoa; Chordata; Aves; Anseriformes; Anatidae
Source: RefSeq, a predicted model, not a curated record